RNAcentral lists this long non-coding RNA (1723 nucleotides) under Marmota monax (woodchuck). Lineage: Eukaryota; Metazoa; Chordata; Mammalia; Rodentia; Sciuridae. The record is from RNAcentral.
GAAGUUCAACACCUAAAUAAAAAGAAGUUCUAGAAAAAUUGAAUAGGGAAAAUGAAGGAUCAACAAGUGUCAAAAAAUAAAAAAUAAAACAAGCAAAUUCUAUAGAACCUGAGUUUCCAGAUUAAACAGAUUUACCAGUACCCAGCAUAAUGAAUGAGAAGGCUCCUAGGAAGCACAUAUCAUGCAUUCUAAAAUGUAUAAAGAUAAGAUAAAGAAAAGAUUCUAAGAGAAAGAUAAAGAAGAUAAAGAUUCUAAGAGAAAAUUCAUCACCUACCAAGGAUCAAGAAUUACAAAGGUAUCAGAAGUCUCAAUGGCAACCCUGGAAGCUAGAAAAAACCAAGAAAAACCUGCAAAUUUCUGAAGGAAAUGAGUUCCAACCUAGAACACAAUACCCAACCAAAAGACCAAUCCAGCAUGAAGGUAGAGUAAAGGCACUAUUGGAAAUGCAAGUUCUCAAAAAGGUUAUAUCUUACAUCUCCUUUCUCAACAAAUCCAGUAAUACAGUCAGGCGCAGUGUUACAUGCCUGUAAUUCUAGGAACUAGGGAGGCUGAAGCAGGAGGAUCAUAAAUCAGAGGUCAACCUGGGCUAUUUAGCAAGACCCUGUCAAAAUAGAAAAUAAAAAUGGCUGGGAAUAUAAUUUAGUGAUAGAGCAACCCCUGGGUUUAAUCCCCUACCAAAAAAAAAAAAAUGUUAAAUCAAAUAAUCCAGCAAAAUAUGAGUCAGUUUAAGAAUAAUGAUAGUUACACUUCAAAUAGAACCUAUUGCAUGCUGGGCAUUCUUCUAACUGCCAUAGGAGUACUUAUGUGUGUGUAUAUACUCAUUUAAUUUAAUCCUCAUAGCAAUUAGCUGAGCUUUAUUCUUGUCAAGUGGGAGGUAAAUUCUGUGAACAGCAGAACUGGGAUUUUAAACCAGGCUAUCUGGCUUCAGGGUCCAGGUCCUUAAAGAGAAAAGAAAAUUUAACAUCCAUUCAUGAUUUCAAAAUUUUUUAAAUUCUCAACAAGCUAUGAGUAGAACUUUCUCAACUGAUACAAGGUCUCUAUGAAAAAUCUACAGCUAACAUCAUAUUUAGUGAAAAUUGGAUGUCUUAGGACCAGGAACAAGGCGGGAUAUCUGCUUUUGACACUUCUAUUCAGCACUGGACUGGAGAUGCUGCUCAGUGAAAUAAGACAAGAAAAAGAUUAAAUGGCAUAAGGAAAAUGAAGAAAUAAAACUAUCUUUUUUUUCUCAGAUGACAUACAUAUAAAAUCCAGAGAAUACUUAAAAAAAAAAAAAACUACAAGAACUAAUCAGUGGAAAAGGUUCCAGAUUACAAAGACAGUACAUUAGUAAGUAAAUUGUUACAAAGUCAAUAUACUAGUGCAAUUAUGUUUCUAUACUCUAAUAAUAAAGAAAUGGAAAAUUUUUUCUUUCAAAAUACCAUUUGUAAUAGCACCCUGCCCCCAAAAAGCCACAAGAUACUUAAGGGUAAAUUUAAUAACAUAUGUACAAGAUCGUUGUACCAAAAACUAGAAAACAUUCUUUGCAAACAAUUAAAGAAAGAUACCAUGUUCCUAGACUAGGAGACUCAAUGUUAAUGUUGCCUUUUUCUCCAAAUUGAUCUAUGGAUUUGAGGUAAUCCAAAUCAAAAUCCCAAUUGAAUAUGUUGUAGAAAUUGACAAGCAGAUCUAAAGUUCAUCUAGAAAUGGAAUGAAAGAAAUUCAGGAAAAAAAAAAAAGAGCAAAC